RNAcentral lists this unclassified non-coding RNA (297 nucleotides) under Camptylonemopsis sp. HA4241-MV5. RNAcentral's name for it is "16S-23S ribosomal RNA intergenic spacer". The record is from RNAcentral. Lineage: Bacteria; Bacillati; Cyanobacteriota; Cyanophyceae; Nostocales; Nostocaceae.
UUUAGGGAGACCUACCCAACUCAGAAAUCGAAAACAAACAGUUAAUAGACAAUGAGAUGGUCUACUCUAGGUCGGUCGAGAAUUGGUAAAAGCUUUCAAAGUAUUAUCUGUUCGGUUUUUGCAGUCGGAAAUUAGAUAAAAAAAUUGUGGAUAAAGUUCAGCAAAAUGACUUAAGAAAAGUCAGACUGCUGGGUAAAAUCCAGCCAGAACCUUGAAAACUGCAUAGUAACGCGAAAUUAGCAGGCAGACACAGACAUUCAAAGAAGAGUCGUGUUUGUAGAAAGCAAAAGUAAAUGU